AAUAUCAGAAUAUUAUUUUCUGUGCUCAGUGAAAAUACUUUGUGAAUUUUUCAAACAACUUUUAAAUGGUCAACGAACUGACCUUAAAUCAACAACUCGCUCGAGUUCAAAGUUCGUUGUCGUCAGUGAAUUCUUUGCCUAUAGAUGCGUCUCUAUGGAAGAAUAUGCAUAUUGAAAGCGAUACUACUCGCCCAUUGUAUCGCGUCAAGUCGGAAUAUGUUAAUUUAGGGAAAUCUCCAAAGGAUUAUCAUCAUUUCAUGCAGCUGCUGGAUUAUGUGCGUCUUCAUUCGAAUUAUGAAUACUCCAAUUGCAAUUUGAGUGCGAUUUGGAAUUAAGACACAAACUUUACUUUAGAAAUGCAAAUUCUCGGAAUAAAGCAACUUUAAAGACAGACUGAAAUAUCAUUGUGUGUGUUUCCAAACGUGCUUGAAACGUUUGCUUUCUUUUUGUGGUGGUAAAAAGGAUAACAAUGGAGCCAAGGACAGGCAAUGGCAGCUCGCAAUUUUAAUGGCAUGUAUUAUAAACUAUAGUAUUUGCAAUUGUAUUCACGAUGUGUGUGGUUGCUGUCUGGCAGCAGGCAGAAGGCAAGGAUAUGCUCGUAGGUACAGAGAAGAGACGGGCUCCUAUGUGUGAAGACUGCGUAAAGAGCUUAUGUAUUUGGCUCACGAUUUCGAGUUCGUUCGUUGCAGAAAGACAUUCGUUGCGGCGUAAAAUUCAACAACGGGUUUCAUGCAGAGCCUGUAAAUUAUGUUGCCCAAAGGAUAUGCGCCAGACACACACACACACACACACAAGCUCACACACAUGCAUACAUGCAUACUUAUGCACAAUCAACAAGAAACUUGACUAAAAUGAUGUACUUAAUUUUGGUUUUCCUAUUUAAUAAACUGCAUGCAGAGGCAGCUGCGUCCAAUACGA
Long non-coding RNA from Drosophila nasuta, 918 nucleotides. RefSeq lists it as uncharacterized. The transcript has 2 exons. The record is from RefSeq and is a predicted model, not a curated record. Lineage: Eukaryota; Metazoa; Arthropoda; Insecta; Diptera; Drosophilidae.